Pan paniscus (pygmy chimpanzee) is the source of this 340-nucleotide long non-coding RNA. The record is from Ensembl. Lineage: Eukaryota; Metazoa; Chordata; Mammalia; Primates; Hominidae.
CUCUGAUAUUAUCUUUAGCUCUUCUUUCCAAAAGAGUUGGAGAAAGAAGCAGUACCUCUGUAUCACACAGAAAACCAAAUAGCCAUUUCCAAGGCCGGAAGGAAUUGUCCAGCCAGUCCCUUCUCUGCAGUGCUGCUCAAAUAGGAAAUAUUACCAUUUAAAUCACUUGACUAUUAACAACUACAUCUCGGGAAUAGAUGACAUCAUCUGGUGGACAGGAUUAGAAGCCAUGUAUCAAUAGUUAACAUUUAUUGGACACUGUUCUAAGCAUUUUACAUGUAAACACAUUUGUUCUUCACAACAACCUUACGAGGUAAGAACUAUUAUUAUUAUUAACCCA